ACUCCUACGGGAGGCAGCAGUGGGGAAUAUUGGACAAUGGGCGCAAGCCUGAUCCAGCAAUGCCGCGUGAGUGAUGAAGGCCUUAGGGUUGUAAAGCUCUUUCGCACGCGACGAUGAUGACGGUAGCGUGAGAAGAAGCCCCGGCUAACUUCGUGCCAGCAGCCGCGGUAAU
RNAcentral lists this ribosomal RNA (172 nucleotides) under uncultured bacterium. RNAcentral describes it as "partial 16S ribosomal RNA". It matches the Rfam family "Bacterial small subunit ribosomal RNA", at positions 335 to 524 of the family's 1533-position model. The record is from RNAcentral.